AAAUUGAAGAGUUUGAUCAUGGCUCAGAUUGAACGCUGGCGGCAGGCCUAACACAUGCAAGUCGAGCGGAAACGAGUUAUCAAAGCCUUCGGGUGGCGAUAACGGCGUCGAGCGGCGGACGGGUGAGUAAUGCCUAGGAAAUUGCCCUGAUGUGGGGGAUAACCAUUGGAAACGAUGGCUAAUACCGCAUGAUGCCUACGGGCCAAAGAGGGGGACCUUCGGGCCUCUCGCGUCAGGAUAUGCCUAGGUGGGAUUAGCUAGUUGGUGAGGUAAGGGCUCACCAAGGCGACGAUCCCUAGCUGGUCUGAGAGGAUGAUCAGCCACACUGGAACUGAGACACGGUCCAGACUCCUACGGGAGGCAGCAGUGGGGAAUAUUGCACAAUGGGCGCAAGCCUGAUGCAGCCAUGCCGCGUGUGUGAAGAAGGCCUUCGGGUUGUAAAGCACUUUCAGUCGUGAGGAAGGUGGUGUAGUUAAUAGCUGCAUC
Molecule: ribosomal RNA, 486 nt
Filed under: Vibrio alginolyticus
Lineage: Bacteria; Pseudomonadati; Pseudomonadota; Gammaproteobacteria; Vibrionales; Vibrionaceae
Description: bacterial SSU rRNA
Rfam family: Bacterial small subunit ribosomal RNA
Source: RNAcentral